AAAAGCUAGCCUAAACCGC
RNAcentral lists this small nuclear RNA (19 nucleotides) under Arabidopsis thaliana (thale cress). RNAcentral describes it as "snRNA_19161". The record is from RNAcentral. Lineage: Eukaryota; Viridiplantae; Streptophyta; Magnoliopsida; Brassicales; Brassicaceae.